Long non-coding RNA from Miniopterus natalensis, 915 nucleotides. RefSeq lists it as uncharacterized. The record is from RefSeq and is a predicted model, not a curated record. Lineage: Eukaryota; Metazoa; Chordata; Mammalia; Chiroptera; Miniopteridae.
CUGGAGGGUGGCACCAGUUUUCGCAACAACAGUGGCCCCGGUGUCUGGCGUGCGCGGCUCUUGGGGAGCAGAGGGCGGGCCUCAGGCUCUGGGGGAAGCGCUGCAGCUCGUCUGAGAGCCCCGAGCGCAGCGAGGCCACGCCUUCCCUGCGGGGCCAUCUAGCUCUCAGCGGAGCCCAAUGACGGCGGGCAUCAGCUGAGUGGCCUCGGCCAAGGUUCCAGAAACCGGACCUCCUAAGGUAUCCUUCUCGAAAGCGGGUCUCGGUGCCGCCGCAGCUCCUUCGCUUUUGCCUCCUCGGCUGACAAUGCGGUCGUUGCGGGAGCGACCUGCCUUUUCCCAGCCUCCUGAACAAAGACUGAAAGGAGUGGGUGACAACGGCGCGCCUUUGAUCUGAGGAGCGCACCUACCUCCCGAGUCCUCUUCAUCUCUCCGUUUUUGACGGUGGCUUGUAGGGACCUUCAAUUGAUACAGUCUCCCUCAUGCAAGCACAUGCCCUAGAUAGCAGCGAGAAGAGUCACAAGCAAAUGAGACUGAGAGAAGAUUGGAAAAUUAGGAGCUCCUGAAGUAUGAGGAUUUUCUCCAAAGAAUCCUGGUUAUAGACCGAAUUGUGAACCCCACCCCCAAAUUCAUAUGUUGAAGCCUAGCCUUCAAAGUGACCAUUUGAUAAUAGGGCCUUUAAAGAGGUGUGCACAGAGGAAAUACCACAUGAGGACACAGGGAGAAGAAAAGAGUCUACGAGCCAGGAAGAGAGGCCUAACCAGAAACUAACAUUGAUGGUACCUUAAUCUUCAACUUCCAACUUCCAGAACACUGAUGAACACACACCAGUAGAGGAUGAAGAUUCAAAGAAAAGCACCACUUCAGCUUCUACUUAAAUCAAGAUACAAAAGGAAAUUUUUAAAGAGCCGAGAAGAA